CCUAAAUUAUAAUGGGGGUUCAUUUUCUAUGUGUGCAUUAUUUUCAAGAUUAUAUCAUUUGAGAAAAGCUCAUGAAAAAUUAAUAGUAUUUUCUCGUGUAUUUCUUUGUGUAUAUACAAAGUAUAUAAAUGUUUUAUGAAUUCAUGUACAUCUUCAUAUAUGAACUUCUUUCAUCAAUAUUCUUACCAACCAUCUGGGAGACUCUGGAAUAAGAAAGAGACCCAAAAGUAGAAUAGCGAUGGGAAUGAGACCUGCAAGUACCUCACAAAUAAAAGCACAAAUAACUUGAAGGAGUAAAAUAUACAAACCUCAGCAAAGUAUAUAGCAAGCCACCCUGCAGUGCAGACAGCAGCAGAUACUCUCAUCGCCUGCAUAGAUUCCGCAAUAGAUAUGUUGCUACAUGGAGAUUUUUGCAAAUAACCCUUGCACUCAUCCAAGGAAAAAGGAGAAUGAUUGAGACGAAAAUGAUCAGCUUGAAUUUCUUUGUAAGACUAGGAAAAAGAGAAGUAAAAUGGUGAAAGAAACUUCAUAUAGAUCGUAGUAUAUGGACCUCCAUUUGUUGAGAAAUAAUCUCACAUUGUCUGUGAACAAGGUCUUGGACAUGUUUAUAAAGAAUGAGUAAUCAUCUCUUAUUGAAUUGGUUAUAUAAGAUGAGUUAGGCUCAUAAAUCAUUUACCUCCUAUUUGUAUAUGGAACUGUUUUGUGGUC
Long non-coding RNA from Juglans microcarpa x Juglans regia, 708 nucleotides. RefSeq lists it as uncharacterized. Lineage: Eukaryota; Viridiplantae; Streptophyta; Magnoliopsida; Fagales; Juglandaceae. The transcript is spliced from 3 exons. The record is from RefSeq and is a predicted model, not a curated record.